GCCCCAGUGGCCUAAUGGAUAAGGCACUGAUCUCAUAUGCCAGGGAUUGUGGGUUCGAGUCCCAUCUGGGGUG
Molecule: non-coding RNA, 73 nt
Organism: Danio rerio (zebrafish)
Lineage: Eukaryota; Metazoa; Chordata; Actinopteri; Cypriniformes; Danionidae
Source: Rfam